CCCUUAGAUGUUCUGGGCCGCACGCGUGCUACACUGAGUGGAUCAGCGGGUCAGGUUGCGCGAAAGUGUUUCCUAAUCUUUAAAUCCGCUCGUGAUGAGGAUUGACGGUUGCAAUUUUCUGUCAUGAACGAGGAAUACCUUGUAAGCGCGGGUCAUCAUCCCGCGCUGAAUACGUCCCUGCCCUUUGUACACACCGCCCGUCGCUCCUACCGAUUGAGUGGUCCGGUGAGGCUUUGGGAUCUGAGCGGAAAGAGCGUUUCGCUGUUUCUGCUCGGAAAACUCAGUCGAACCUUAUCAUUUAGAGGAAGGAGAAGUCGUAACA
RNAcentral lists this ribosomal RNA (322 nucleotides) under uncultured eukaryote. RNAcentral describes it as "partial 18S ribosomal RNA". It matches the Rfam family "Eukaryotic small subunit ribosomal RNA", at positions 1470 to 1796 of the family's 1831-position model. The record is from RNAcentral.